RNAcentral lists this ribosomal RNA (2092 nucleotides) under uncultured Kyrtuthrix sp. RNAcentral's name for it is "bacterial SSU rRNA". The stretch from base 1 to 1453 matches the Rfam family "Bacterial small subunit ribosomal RNA". Lineage: Bacteria; Bacillati; Cyanobacteriota; Cyanophyceae; Nostocales; Rivulariaceae. The record is from RNAcentral.
ACUGGCGGCGUGCCUAACACAUGCAAGUCGAACGAAAUCUUCGGAUUUAGUGGCGGACGGGUGAGUAACGCGUGAGAAUCUGCCUUUAGGUUCGGGACAACAGUUGGAAACGACUGCUAAUACCGAAUGUGUCGUAAGAUGAAAGAUUUAUCGCCUAGAGAUGAGCUCGCGUCUGAUUAGCUAGUUGGUGGGGUAAAAGCUUACCAAGGCGACGAUCAGUAGCUGGUCUGAGAGGAUGAUCAGCCACACUGGGACUGAGACACGGCCCAGACUCCUACGGGAGGCAGCAGUGGGGAAUUUUCCGCAAUGGGCGAAAGCCUGACGGAGCAACGCCGCGUGAGGGAGGAAGGCUUUUGGGUUGUAAACCUCUUUUCUCAAGGAAGAUAAUGACGGUACUUGAGGAAUCAGCAUCGGCUAACUCCGUGCCAGCAGCCGCGGUAAUACGGAGGAUGCAAGCGUUAUCCGGAAUAAUUGGGCGUAAAGCGUUCGUAGGUGGUUUUGUAAGUCUGCUGUUAAAGCGUGUAGCUCAACUACAUAUAGGCAGUGGAAACUACAAAACUUGAGUGCGUUCGGGGCAGAGGGAAUUCCUGGUGUAGCGGUGAAAUGCGUAGAGAUCAGGAAGAACACCGGUGGCGAAGGCGCUCUGCUAGGCCGCAACUGACACUGAGGGACGAAAGCUAGGGGAGCGAAUGGGAUUAGAUACCCCAGUAGUCCUAGCUGUAAACGAUGGAUACUAGGCGUUGUCUGUAUCGACCCGGACAGUGCCGUAGCUAACGCGUUAAGUAUCCCGCCUGGGGAGUACGCACGCAAGUGUGAAACUCAAAGGAAUUGACGGGGGCCCGCACAAGCGGUGGAGUAUGUGGUUUAAUUCGAUGCAACGCGAAGAACCUUACCAAGGCUUGACAUGUCCGGAACUUUUGUGAAAGCAGAAGGUGCCUUCGGGAGCCGAAACACAGGUGGUGCAUGGCUGUCGUCAGCUCGUGUCGUGAGAUGUUGGGUUAAGUCCCGCAACGAGCGCAACCCUCGUCUUUAGUUGCCAGCACUUAGGGUGGGCACUCUAGAGAGACUGCCGGUGACAAACCGGAGGAAGGUGGGGAUGACGUCAAGUCAUCAUGCCCCUUACGUCUUGGGCUACACACGUACUACAAUGCUAUGGACAAAGAGCAGCCAGCCAGCGAUGGUGCGCUAAUCUCAUAAACCAUGGCUCAGUUCAGAUUGCAGGCUGCAACUCGCCUGCAUGAAGUAGGAAUCGCUAGUAAUUGCAGGUCAGCAUACUGCAGUGAAUUCGUUCCCGGGCCUUGUACACACCGCCCGUCACACCAUGGAAGUUGGUCACGCCCGAAGUCGUUACCCUAACCGCUUGCGGAGGGGGACGCCGAAGGUAGGACUGAUGACUGGGGUGAAGUCGUAACAAGGUAGCCGUACCGGAAGGUGUGGCUGGAUCACCUCCUUUUCAGGGAGACCUUACCCACUCAUACACCGAGAUAUUAUAUAGGUGAUGAUUGUGGUCAUCCCAAGGUCGUGCGUAGGCAAGGAUAUAUUAUGGCUUUCAAACAAUUAUAGGUUCGGUAUUAUGUUCGUACCUAUGGGCUAUUAGCUCAGGUGGUUAGAGCGCACCCCUGAUAAGGGUGAGGUCCCUGGUUCGAGUCCAGGAUGGCCCACCUGAACAAUUUUAGAUUUUAAAUUUUAGAUUUUAGAUUAAUAAUUCUAGAUUAAUCCAGAAUCGUAAAUCCAAAAUCCAAAAUUAUUGUAGGGGGGUAUAGCUCAGUUGGUAGAGCGCCUGCUUUGCAAGCAGGAUGUCAGCGGUUCGAGUCCGCUUACCUCCACCAAAUUAACGAUUAAUAAUGUUGGGAUAAUUUCAGCACCUAGACUUAUAUAAAAAAGUCGGAAUGCUGGAUUGUUAUCCAGUCAGAACCUUGAAAACUGCAUAUUCACGCGAAAGAUAAUUGUUGUAGGUAGUACUUAAUUGGUAGUAAAUCUAUGAAUUAAGUGUGAAUCUAACAAAUCCUAUUUUGUAUUGAUUGUAUUGGAAUCAAUGUGGUCAAGCUACAAAGGGCUAAUGGUGGAUACCUAGGCACACAGAGAUCUUUCU